UCCUUAUGGAUAAAACUAUACUAUAUAUUUGCGUGGAUAAACUUCCUACAUUCUGCAUUUUCUCUCGAUCCAACCGCUAUCGAGAAAAUUUGCCAGAAAAAAUUUAGUAUACUUUUAAAUACGAUAGAUACAAACGUCGCGUCACCUUGUCUCUCUAUUGUUGUCAAAGAAUUACCGGAGAAACAAACAAAAUUUCGCUUGUCAGAAACUCUUUGCUAGUGCAGAAGGUUAAAUUGAUAAGUUCUUCUCCAGUCAACCGGCGUUGUAGAUAGAACUUUGUGUGUUUAUCCACUUACCUCGAUUUUAGCAAUAUGAAUUUGAAAAUUUUCUUAGCGGAUUAGGCUAAAAGAUUUUUAAAAAAGUUUUAUUUGGUUAUAUUGGGGUUGUUUUUUUUUUCUCC
RNAcentral lists this unclassified non-coding RNA (400 nucleotides) under Hevea brasiliensis (rubber tree). Lineage: Eukaryota; Viridiplantae; Streptophyta; Magnoliopsida; Malpighiales; Euphorbiaceae. The record is from RNAcentral.